This 490-nucleotide ribosomal RNA is filed under the name uncultured bacterium. RNAcentral describes it as "partial 16S ribosomal RNA". It matches the Rfam family "Bacterial small subunit ribosomal RNA", at positions 30 to 507 of the family's 1533-position model. The record is from RNAcentral.
AUUGAACGCUGGCGGCAGGCCUAACACAUGCAAGUCGAACGGUAACAGGAAGAAGCUUGCUUCUUUGCUGACGAGUGGCGGACGGGUGAGUAAUGUCUGGGAAACUGCCUGAUGGAGGGGGAGAACUACUGGAAACGGUAGCUAAUACCGCAUAACGUCGCAAGACCAAAGAGGGGGACCUUCGGGCCUCUUGCCAUCGGAUGUGCCCAGAUGGGAUUAGCUAGUAGGUGGGGUAACGGCUCACCAAGGCGACGAGCCCUAGCUGGUCUGAGAGGAUGAGCAGCCACACUGGAACUGAGACACGGUCCAGACUCCUACGGGAGGCAGCAGUGGGGAAUAUUGCACAAUGGGCGCAAGCCUGAUGCAGCCAUGCCGCGUGGGUGAAGAAGGCCUUCGGGUUGUAAAGUCCUUUUGUCGGGAAAGAAGAGCGGCAGGUUAAUACCCUUCUUCCCUGACGUUACCCAAAGAAGAAGCACCGGCUAACUCCGUG